AUUGAACGCUGGCGGCAUGCCUUACACAUGCAAGUCGAACGGCAGCACGGGUGCUUGCACCUGGUGGCGAGUGGCGAACGGGUGAGUAAUACAUCGGAACGUACCUUAUCGUGGGGGAUAACGCAGCGAAAGCUGUGCUAAUACCGCAUACGCCCUGAGGGGGAAAGCGGGGGAUCGCAAGACCUCGCGCGAUUAGAGCGGCCGAUGCCUGAUUAGCGUGUUGGUGGGGUAAAAGCCCACCAAGGCGAAGAUCAGUAGCUGGUCUGAGAGGACGACCAGCCCGACUGGGACUGAGAAACGGCCCAGACGCCUACGGGAGGCAACAGUGGGGAAUUUUGGACAAUGGGGGCAACCCUGAUCCAGCAAUGCCGCGUGAGUGAAGAAAACCUUCGGGUUGUAAAGCUCUUUUGUCAGGGAAGAAACACCGGCUCUAACACAGUCCGGGAAUGACGGUACCUGAAGAAUAAGCACCGGCUUACUACGUGCCAGCAGCCGCGGUAA
Molecule: ribosomal RNA, 501 nt
Filed under: uncultured bacterium
Lineage: Bacteria
Description: partial 16S ribosomal RNA
Rfam family: Bacterial small subunit ribosomal RNA
Source: RNAcentral